GGGAGUUUAGCUCAGCGGCAUAAGCGCCUGCCUUGAAAGCAGGCAGUCGUGAGUUCAAUCCCCA
This 64-nucleotide transfer RNA is filed under the name Cavia porcellus (domestic guinea pig). It matches the Rfam family "tRNA", at positions 1 to 62 of the family's 71-position model. From Rfam's summary of the family: Transfer RNA (tRNA) molecules are approximately 80 nucleotides in length. Their secondary structure includes four short double-helical elements and three loops (D, anti-codon, and T loops). The record is from Rfam by way of RNAcentral. Lineage: Eukaryota; Metazoa; Chordata; Mammalia; Rodentia; Caviidae.